Long non-coding RNA from Thamnophis elegans (Western terrestrial garter snake), 381 nucleotides. RefSeq lists it as uncharacterized. Lineage: Eukaryota; Metazoa; Chordata; Lepidosauria; Squamata; Natricidae. The transcript is spliced from 2 exons. The record is from RefSeq and is a predicted model, not a curated record.
CCCUCUUUGUUCCACUCCUUAGAGCGCGCGACGGCUCCGCCCCCCCAUCGACCGGGCGGGGGGAAAGAAGCGGCGCUAUCCCAUCAUGCACCAUGCCCCUUAUAGACAGGUUUUCAGGGUGAAGAAACUGAAUUUUGUUCUGAAAGUCUGGAGGAAGUUAAGAUGCUCCAUUUCUUUUGAACUUUCCCUAGGCUGCUGGCUACAAAGGGGGAGUCAGAGAGACAAAGAGGACUAGGUAGUAGUCCUUUAACGCCAUUUCAUCUGAACUUCCCCGAGGCUGGUGAUUGGAGCUGUUUUCUACAAGGUGGGACUCAGAGAGACAAAGAAUCAUAUAUCUAUAAACUAAAAUAGCAAUAAUACAUUCUGGAUUAGUGCGCUUGA